RNAcentral lists this ribosomal RNA (268 nucleotides) under uncultured bacterium. Its description in RNAcentral is "partial 16S ribosomal RNA". It matches the Rfam family "Bacterial small subunit ribosomal RNA", at positions 337 to 602 of the family's 1533-position model. The record is from RNAcentral.
CCCUACGGGGCGCAGCAGUGAGGAAUAUUGGUCAAUGGGCGGGAGCCUGACCCAGCCAAGCCGCGUGAGGGAAGAAGGUACAGCGUAUCGUAAACCUCUUUUGUCAGGGAACAAAGGCAGGGACGUGUCCCCGGAUGAGUGUACCUGAAGAAAAAGCAUCGGCUAACUCCGUGCCAGCAGCCGCGGUAAUACGGAGGAUGCGAGCGUUAUCCGGAUUUAUUGGGUUUAAAGGGCGCGCAUGCGGUCUGUUACGUCAGCGGUCAAAGGC